Molecule: small RNA, 83 nt
Filed under: Marmota monax (woodchuck)
Lineage: Eukaryota; Metazoa; Chordata; Mammalia; Rodentia; Sciuridae
Source: RNAcentral
CCCGGGCAUGGUGGUGCAUGCCUGUAAUCCCAGCGGCUUGGGAGGCUGAGGCAGGAGCAUUAGGAGUUCAAAGCCAGCCUCAG